ACCUGCCCAAGAGACUGGGAUAACACCUGGAAACAGAUGCUAAUACCGGAUAACAACACUAGACGCAUGUCUAGAGUUUGAAAGAUGGUUCUGCUAUCACUCUUGGAUGGACCUGCGGUGCAUUAGCUAGUUGGUAAGGUAACGGCUUACCAAGGCAAUGAUGCAUAGCCGAGUUGAGAGACUGAUCGGCCACAUUGGGACUGAGACACGGCCCAAACUCCUACGGGAGGCAGCAGUAGGGAAUCUUCCACAAUGGACGAAAGUCUGAUGGAGCAACGCCGCGUGAGUGAAGAAGGGUUUCGGCUCGUAAAGCUCUGUUGGUAGUGAAGAAAGAUAGAGGUAGUAACUGGCCUUUAUUUGACGGUAAUUACUUAGAAAGUCACGGCUAACUACGUGCCAGCAGCCGCGGUAAUACGUAGGUGGCAAGCGUUGUCCGGAUUUAUUGGGCGUAAAGCGAGUGCAGGCGGUUCAAUAAGUCUGAUGUGAAAGCCUUCGGCUCAACCGGAGAAUUGCAUCAGAAACUGUUGAACUUGAGUGCAGAAGAGGAGAGUGGAACUCCAUGUGUAGCGGUGGAAUGCGUAGAUAUAUGGAAGAACACCAGUGGCGAAGGCGGCUCUCUGGUCUGCAACUGACGCUGAGGCUCGAAAGCAUGGGUAGCGAACAGGAUUAGAUACCCUGGUAGUCCAUGCCGUAAACGAUGAGUGCUAAGUGUUGGGAGGUUUCCGCCUCUCAGUGCUGCAGCUAACGCAUUAAGCACUCCGCCUGGGGAGUACGACCGCAAGGUUGAAACUCAAAGGAAUUGACGG
This 806-nucleotide ribosomal RNA is filed under the name uncultured bacterium. RNAcentral describes it as "bacterial SSU rRNA". It matches the Rfam family "Bacterial small subunit ribosomal RNA", at positions 124 to 916 of the family's 1533-position model. The record is from RNAcentral.